This is a long non-coding RNA of Lytechinus pictus (painted urchin), 4187 nucleotides long. RefSeq lists it as uncharacterized. The transcript has 3 exons. The record is from RefSeq and is a predicted model, not a curated record. NCBI's taxonomy places the organism in Eukaryota, Metazoa, Echinodermata, Echinoidea, Temnopleuroida, Toxopneustidae.
AUACUAGCACCUACAUCCAACACGUCCUCCCUAAGACUAUCGCUAGGCAACAUUAUCCUACAGAUUAUACCCAUGUGGGGUGCAACUACUCCAGCCCAGUGAGGAGGUAAUUCUUCUACCAUCAACUUGGAAGUGAGGGUUGUGUUUUGUUUGUGUACACGUCAAACAAACUGCAGGCAGCCGAAACAAUUACUGUCUAUCUCGAUCAAUGGACCAGCACCUAUUAGACAGGAAUUGAUUAAUUGGACCUGUCCUCAGACAAUGCUCUUGCUGUGAAUCUACUAGGGAACUUAAUUUGGAUUUCUAUUCUUUUUUGCAACACUCUCUUGUGUAUCCAAUGGGAUUGAGGUCAGGUUGUUGAGAUUUCUUCUUUGUGGAUCACUUAAUUUGGGGAUUUAGUCAAGCUAUCUUGCAGGUCAUCUGAUUUGCUGCAUUUCAGCAAUUAUUUCUAACUGUUGGAUAAGUCUGACCAACUACUCAGUCUACUGGACAUCGAUUUCCAUUUCAUUACUGACCACUAAACCAAGGAUGUAUGUAAAAAUAGGAGUUGUAGCCUGUAUUGUCUUGUUUUCAUUGAUUGGUUUGUGGAUGUCAGAGGUUGGUUUCUUCUCAAUGUUUCUCAUAGCAACAAUGGUCUUCUCCGCUAUGUUGGUAGCCAUGGGUUUUGAUCAUGCCAUGAUAGCUUACAGCAAGACUCAUGUUUCACCAGACAGAAGAGCAUCAAGACUUCCAGAUCUCAAUAAGGACCAGUAACCACAAGCAGUCCAUCCUUUUAGUUCUUGUUAGAGAUGUCUUGCAGGAAAGAUGGCUCCCAGCACCCCAGUUCAUCAACAAUUACUCUGUGACAUAUGGCUCCAUGAUAUAUGCCAUAGUAACAGUAGCUGUGGUUGUUCCUACAGCCUCAAAGCAUGACAUUCAAUAAUAAAUAUUCUGCAAAAUUUGCUCCAACAUCAAAAGCUCUGACCAAAGUUGAUGCUUACCAGUUAAGCAUUAGAGCAAAAGGAAGGACGAAGGUUUGACUGCCUUUGCAAAAGGGAUAUAGACAGUUUUGCUAUGUGGGAUAAUUUGUAGCCAUAUUAAUUUUCAUAUCUUCAAGAAUGAUCACUCGUAAGGUAUGAACAUAUUUUGCUGGCAGAUAUAAGUGCUUACAGAUUUCCAUGCACUGGUAUAAGCAAAAUAUAUUGCAAAUAACAAAAUUCAUUAGGAGGAAUAUUUAUGAUAAUCAUAAAGAAUCACAUGCCAAAUGAAUGCAUGAUGGUUGCACACACCAAAAAAAAAAAGCUAGAAUGAAACCAGAAAAUAAAAAUGCAAAUAUAUAAGAGAGCAAUAUCACAAACUUGGUUUAAAAGUUUGAAACUAAUCAAUAAAAUAUGUUGUAUAUAGUAUUUGUAAAACAAAAUUCAGUCUUCCAGGAAAAAAGGUGACUUUAAAAUUGUAGGCAAAAAAAUAUAACUUUGGCAGAAAGACUGAUCCCUAUUUCAUAGCAACAAAACAAAAUAGAUAUAUGGAAAACUAUCAGGAACAAUUGAAAUAUUCUUUUUUUUUCUAGCAAACAGAUCCACAUUUCAUAACUUUAUACAACAAUUUAUAAAAUGCAUUUUUGUGAUUUGCAGUUGUUCUGCAAUAAACUAGCAGCAAAGGCUUUUACUCACUGCUUUCUGCCCCCAAAAAAUAUUAAAUAAAAAUGGGCAUUUAAAAUGUAUGAUUAUGACUUAUAAGGCAGUAUGAACAGAAAUUAGAGAACAUCCGAUAUUAGAUAUUGCUUUAUGAUGUUAUCAAUUCAAAAGAAUAAGAUCAUAAUAAUUUUUAAUUUUACCGAUAAUUCUUGAUGACAUUAUAUAAUUGCUUGUUUCAUGGUAAAUUUGAUUAAAAGAAGCAAUUCACCUUAUUCUAACCCAAAUAAGAUUUAUGAAAUAAUAAAAUAGGAACUUAAGUAUAAUUGACAAAAACUCAAAAUGACUAACAUCAGAGUUUUCUUUUUUUACAUUCACACCAUCUAUGUUAAUUGUAAAUUCAUUACAAAAAAUGGUUUGUACAGGAUAACCAAUUUUACAGGAAAGAGUCAAGAAGAAAGAAUGUGUUCUUCAAUACGACAAAAGAUAUGUGCUUAUGAAUUAUCAAAUAUUUACUACUAAUGCCCACCCUAAAUAAAGGAGUAGAAGUUAAACCAUUAAAAGCAUUGCUUUUUUCAUGCAUAACAUUACUAGUAUAUGGAUAUACAAAGGUGCUCAAAAGUUAGUGAACCUCACCAGAAAAUGAACAAAUAUAAAUUGUUCACUUUCUACCAUAUUAUAGACAUUUAAUUGUGAAGUCAGGUGAUAAAAUAUUACAUUCAAUUAAGUUUGUUUCUCUGGGUUCGCCAAACAUAAUAGUGCUUUUUGUCUAAAUUCAACACUCAGCAUGAAUGAGUGCUUUUUUGGUGGGGUUCACCAACUUUUGAGAUUGACUGUAUGUCCCAAUGUGUGAAAAUUGUACAUUUUCAAACAUUAGCAACCAGGCACAUACAGUUCAUAAUCAAUUCACUGUAAAGAAUAAGUUGUGAUAAAUAGUAUACAAUGACCAGUUGUAUUUUGGUAACCCUUAACAAGGAGCAAAAUGAGUUGAGAAUUGAUACAUAUUUCUCAAAGCAAUUAAUGGUAAAAAUAUAACCCUUCCGUCUUCCACCAAUCAAAUUGUCAUUAGUGCUUUUAGAGCUUGAAUAAUUGUGUUUUAAAAGCAAAAAAAAAAACGUUUUCAUUUGCAUUGUAAAUACCAUGUGGUUUGUGUAACUGUCUCAAUCAAUCUUGAUAUUUAGACUGCUAUGUAUUAAAUCCUUUAUUUGUUCAGUCUUUUUCAAUAAGAUGGCAUUAAAUUCUAAGAAAUGCAUAAUGCCACUCACUUGUUGUGACAGUUUGCGAUUAUCAAUGGAGUUCUUUGAGCGAAACAUGAAUGGCCGCUUGUCUAAACAAGUAAGUUGUAACAUGUAUUCCCAUUUUUUAAAUUCAAAUUUUCAUCUACUGAUAACUUGUAUCAUUCAAAUGUUUCAUUCUGUUGCAAUUCACGCUUUAUUUUACCUUAAUUCAUAUAAAGAAGAUCAUAUCAUUAUCCUUAUCAUUAUCAACAUUCAGUUGAUAUUGAUAAAGACUAUGUAUCAUUGGCGGUCAUCCGAACCAUUGUAUCACACAAACGACAGUGCAAACCCAUUUCAGUGAAAAUCAACUUCAAAGUUCACUGUAAUUUUCACUUAGUUCCCCAGCCUUACAACAUAUUCAUUGCUAUAAAAAUACAUGGUUAGAAAGACCAAGACAAUUGCUUGACAUUGGUAUCUUUUUUUACAAAAAAAAAACCAAGGAUCAGAGAAAAUAUCGCAAAAGAGCUACAUGUACAUGCUUGUAAUUUUGGUUUGAGUGGUUUAGAUUUUCCCCAGGUACAAAAACGCCAUAGGCUAUACAACAACGCUGACCAUGAUUUCAAUGCGUCAAAACGUCAUAUCUCUUUUUCACCUGCAAACUCAAUGCAAUGCUGAUACGACGGUUUGACUGACAGCGCAUUUGCAUAUUAAGUGCAUGCAGCUGUUAUUUGCUUUGCUAUGGUACUUGUUUAAUAUGGGAUUUGCGCAUUUUAUCAACAAUUUGCAUGGCAUCGCCAUGAAAAUCCCCACAUAUCUCAGAAACUAAAAUACAUUGCUGCCUAGAAAUUUAGUUGGGAAAAGGAUAGGAAAUGUACUUUCAUUUUCUGCAAAAAUCUCAAAAUUGUUUUUUUAUACUAAAAUUGACUGAUAUGACGGUUCGAAUGAACGCCGACGAUAUGGGCAAAAUGUAAAUAUGUGUGUGGUGUAUUAAUCUUUAUAUGCACAAUAAACAAAUUACUCACAAAAAUAAAAUUGAAAUUUUUAUGAGUGUUUUGAUGAAAUAUAAUUUAUUAAACAUGGAAAAUAGCAUUAUUAUCUUUACACAUAUUCUAUAGAAAUUACAAAAUGAAAAUAGGAAAAGAUGUAUACAAUUGUAAAAGCAUAAGAAAGUAAGUGUAACUGUAUAUGGAGUUUCAGGCUAAACAUGCAAUAAAGCUAAGGUGUAGAAAUUUUAAAUGCUGCUUGUUUGUCUUAUGUACAUGGAUUGUUGUCCCAACAGUCUGCAGUUCUGCUGGUGUUGUACUUUUCAUAUACUGAAAAAACCCUUUAUUAUAAUAAAGAGAUUUGUAAAAACAUA